CACCGCGGUUAAACGAGAGGCCCUAGUUGACAAUACAACGGCGUAAAGGGUGGUUAAGAGUAAACGUAAAUAAAGUCAAAUGGCCCCUUGGCCGUCAUACGCUUCUAGGCGUCCGAAGCCCUAACACGAAAGUAACUUUAAUAACUUCGCCUGACCCCACGAAAGCUGGGAAA
RNAcentral lists this ribosomal RNA (173 nucleotides) under Tariqilabeo latius (stone roller). Its description in RNAcentral is "partial 12S rRNA". The record is from RNAcentral. Lineage: Eukaryota; Metazoa; Chordata; Actinopteri; Cypriniformes; Cyprinidae.